RNAcentral lists this transfer RNA (72 nucleotides) under Blastomyces dermatitidis ATCC 26199. RNAcentral describes it as "tRNA-Gly (CCC) (tRNA-Gly-CCC-1-1)". It matches the Rfam family "tRNA". Rfam says of the family: Transfer RNA (tRNA) molecules are approximately 80 nucleotides in length. RNAcentral also lists the same sequence under 4 other names. Lineage: Eukaryota; Fungi; Ascomycota; Eurotiomycetes; Onygenales; Ajellomycetaceae. The record is from RNAcentral.
GCGUCGGUGGUCCAAUGGUUAAGAUUCGACAUUCCCAAUGUCGAGACCCGGGUUCGAUUCCCGGCCGACGCA